ACCACAAAGAGAAAACAAUUUCAAAUCAAACAGAACAGUUUAUUCAGCCCGAUAUAAAUAUCUUUUUUUUUUCCCCUCAUCAAGAAACACACACAUGAACUUCACUUCAGGGCAGUGUGAGUGCUUCUUCUGCCUUCAAGUUCAUCUGGCAAACUGAAAAAUCAAAACAGCCCUGGUUGUGAAUCACCUUUACACUGAUGUUUCUGCUGUGGAGGACAUGUUAGCCCCUGCCACAUUUGUGUGGUGCUUCUGAUUUUCAAGUUCACUGUGAUCCAGUUUGGCCUCAAAUAGUCUGGAAAACACCAUUUCUCAAAAGCAGUUGAAGUGCUACAGGGCUUCAGGGCAGAUGACCCUCUCUUGCUGUUCCCACUGGGUGUCAUAAACUCCAUGACUACUUCCAAGAAAUGUUAAGUGGUCGGGACUGUGGAGACCUGGUCUUGAUGAUCCAGCUAUAAUGUCCUAAUUCUGUUUUUCUGUCUCUUGAAGGACUGUGGCUUUUCAGCAAAAGGCAACAGAAACCAAAAUCCAGAAUCCCAGACUUGUGACCAGCCACCAAAGCAGUACUCCAGGGAUAAGAGUGGUGUAAGCAGUGACAGCAAAUUUCAACUUCCAAUAGACCUGCCCAGAGGGAAAGCAGGAAGAAUACUUGAAGACAGACACCGUGUUUGCUUGACAUACAAAUCACAGGUCUCCAUGUAUACUUCAAACCAGAGAUUCUGUCUCAGAUCUUUUCAAUCUAUGGGUAAAUUAUGACUUUUCUAACUUGUUAUUCUGAAGCCUCAUUUGAUCAUUAUGAUUAUAAAAUAAUCUCAUAACCAAAUACAUUUUAUGUGCUGAAGGAGUUCAAAAGCCUCUCUCUGUUUCUCUGUAACUCAUUUUCUCUGUUUCAAAUGAAAAUAAAUAUUCUUC
This is a long non-coding RNA of Dromaius novaehollandiae (emu), 909 nucleotides long. RefSeq lists it as uncharacterized. Lineage: Eukaryota; Metazoa; Chordata; Aves; Casuariiformes; Dromaiidae. The transcript is spliced from 4 exons. The record is from RefSeq and is a predicted model, not a curated record.